This 253-nucleotide ribosomal RNA is filed under the name uncultured bacterium. Its description in RNAcentral is "partial 16S ribosomal RNA". It matches the Rfam family "Bacterial small subunit ribosomal RNA", at positions 524 to 776 of the family's 1533-position model. The record is from RNAcentral.
UACGUAGGGGGCAAGCGUUGUCCGGAAUCAUUGGGCGUAAAGCGCGUGUAGGCGGUCCGGUAAGUCCGCUGUGAAAGUCGGGGGCUCAACCCUCGGAUGCCGGUGGAUACUGUCGGGCUUGAGUACGGAAGAGGCGAGUGGAAUUCCUGGUGUAGCGGUGGAAUGCGCAGAUAUCAGGAGGAACACCGAUAGCGAAGGCAGCUCGCUGGGACGGUACUUACGCUGAGGCGCGAAAGCGUGGGGAGCGAACAGG